AACUAACGCUGGCGGCGUGCCUAACACAUGCAAGUCGUACGAGAAAGCCGGCUUCGGCUGGUGAGUAAAGUGGCGCACGGGUGAGUAACGCGUGGAUAAUCUGCCCUUAAGUGUGGAAUAACGUACCGAAAGGUGCGCUAAUACCGCAUAAUGCCUGGCAACACAAGUUGUCCGGCCAAAGAAGGCCUCUGUUUACAAGCUUUCGCUUCAGGAUGAGUCCGCGUACCACUAGCUUGUUGGUGGGGUAAUGGCCUACCAAGGCUGCGAUGGUUAGCUGGUCUGAGAGGAUGAUCAGCCACACUGGAACUGAGACACGGUCCAGACUCCUACGGGAGGCAGCAGUGAGGAAUAUUGCGCAAUGGGGCAACCCUGACGCAGCAACGCCGCGUGAGUGAGGAAGGUUUUCGGACUGUAAAGCUCUGUCGAGCGGGAAGAAGUGUACCAUGGCUAAUAUCCAUGAUAUUUGACGGUACCGCUAGAGG
RNAcentral lists this ribosomal RNA (482 nucleotides) under uncultured bacterium. RNAcentral's name for it is "bacterial SSU rRNA". It matches the Rfam family "Bacterial small subunit ribosomal RNA", at positions 29 to 487 of the family's 1533-position model. The record is from RNAcentral.